RNAcentral lists this unclassified non-coding RNA (381 nucleotides) under Mortierella sp. Its description in RNAcentral is "partial contains 5.8S ribosomal RNA, internal transcribed spacer 2, and large subunit ribosomal RNA". The stretch from base 1 to 71 matches the Rfam family "5.8S ribosomal RNA", at positions 84 to 154 of the family's 154-position model. The record is from RNAcentral. Lineage: Eukaryota; Fungi; Mortierellomycota; Mortierellomycetes; Mortierellales; Mortierellaceae.
GUGAAUCAUCGAAUCUUUGAACGCAUAUUGCGCUCUUUGGUAUUCCGAAGAGCAUGCUUGUUUGAGUAUCAGUAAACACCUCAAAGCUUUUGAUUUUUUUUGAAAGCUUUGGACUUGAGCAAUCCCAACACCAAUCUUUUUCAGAUCGGCGGCGGGUUGCUUGAAAUGCAGGUGCAGCUGGACAUUCUCCUGAGCUAAAAGCAUAUUCAUUUAGUCCCGUCAAACGGAUUAUUACUUUUGCUGCAGCUAACAUAAAGGGAGUUUGACCGUAUUGGCUGACUGAUGCAGGAUUUCACAAGGGUCGGCAACGAUUCUUGUUAAACUCGAUCUCAAAUCAAGUAAGACUACCCGCUGAACUUAAGCAUAUCAAUAAGCGGAGGA